AUACGUAGGGUGCAAGCGUUAAUCGGAAUUACUGGGCGUAAAGCGUGCGCAGGCGGUUUUGUAAGACAGUGGUGAAAUCCCCGGGCUCAACCUGGGAACUGCCAUUGUGACUGCAAGGCUGGAGUGCGGCAGAGGGGGAUGGAAUUCCGCGUGUAGCAGUGAAAUGCGUAGAUAUGCGGAGGAACACCGAUGGCGAAGGCAAUCCCCUGGGCCUGCACUGACGCUCAUGCACGAAAGCGUGGGGAGCAAACAGGAUUAGAUACCCUGGUAGUCCACGCCCUAAACGAUGUCAACUGGUUGUUGGGGAUUUAUUUUCUCAGUAACGUAGCUAACGCGUGAAGUUGACCGCCUGGGGAGUUCGGCCGCAAGGUUAAAACUCAAAUGAAUUGACGGGU
RNAcentral lists this ribosomal RNA (395 nucleotides) under uncultured bacterium. Its description in RNAcentral is "partial 16S ribosomal RNA". It matches the Rfam family "Bacterial small subunit ribosomal RNA", at positions 523 to 918 of the family's 1533-position model. The record is from RNAcentral.